This 201-nucleotide unclassified non-coding RNA is filed under the name Hevea brasiliensis (rubber tree). The record is from RNAcentral. Lineage: Eukaryota; Viridiplantae; Streptophyta; Magnoliopsida; Malpighiales; Euphorbiaceae.
GCCGGUCGCGCGCCGGGUCCAGUCGCCAUUUACUCCGUACCUUCGGAGCGGAAGAUGGCGACCGAAAUCGCGCGGCCUUGCGAGAAAUUAUAACCAUCGAUGCGCGUGCCGGCGUUGUAACGCAGCCCGAUUGCUUCGGCGCGCUGCGCGAACGCGCGCUCCUCGCGCCAUUCCACCAGCGCAAACCGGCAGCUUCCCUGC